ACCCCUGUAGCUCAGUGGAUAGAGCACCUCUCUCCUAAAGAGGUGGCGCAGGUUCGAUUCCUGCCAGGGGUA
Molecule: transfer RNA, 72 nt
Filed under: Thermoleophilia bacterium
Lineage: Bacteria; Bacillati; Actinomycetota; Thermoleophilia
Description: tRNA-Arg
Rfam family: tRNA
About the family: Transfer RNA (tRNA) molecules are approximately 80 nucleotides in length. Their secondary structure includes four short double-helical elements and three loops (D, anti-codon, and T loops).
Source: RNAcentral